GCAUCGAUAGCUCAGUCGGUAGAGCAGUUGACUCUUAAUCAAUUGGUCGCAGGUUCAAGUCCUGCUCGGUGCACCA
RNAcentral lists this transfer RNA (76 nucleotides) under Candidatus Uhrbacteria bacterium CG_4_10_14_0_2_um_filter_41_7. Its description in RNAcentral is "tRNA-Lys". It matches the Rfam family "tRNA". Rfam says of the family: Transfer RNA (tRNA) molecules are approximately 80 nucleotides in length. The record is from RNAcentral. Lineage: Bacteria; Candidatus Uhriibacteriota. RNAcentral also lists the same sequence under 2 other names.